GAUGAACGCUGGCGGCGUGCCUAAUACAUGCAAGUCGAGCGAACGGACGAGAAGCUUGCUUCUCUGAUGUUAGCGGCGGACGGGUGAGUAACACGUGGAUAACCUUCCUAUAAGACUGGGAUAACUUCGGGAAACCGGAGCUAAUACCGGAUAAUAUUUUGAACCGCAUGGUUCAAAAGUGAAAGACGGUCUUGCUGUCACUUAUAGAUGGAUCCGCGCUGCAUUAGCUAGUUGGUAAGGUAACGGCUUACCAAGGCAACGAUGCAUAGCCGACCUGAGAGGGUGAUCGGCCACACUGGAACUGAGACACGGUCCAGACUCCUACGGGAGGCAGCAGUAGGGAAUCUUCCGCAAAGGGCGAAAGCCUGACGGAGCAACGCCGCGUGAGUGAUGAAGGUCUUCGGAUCGUAAAACUCUGUUAUUAGGGAAGAACAUAUGUGUAAGUAACUGUGCACAUCUUGACGGUACCUAAUCAGAAAGCCACGGCUAACUACGUG
This 497-nucleotide ribosomal RNA is filed under the name uncultured bacterium. RNAcentral describes it as "partial 16S ribosomal RNA". It matches the Rfam family "Bacterial small subunit ribosomal RNA", at positions 28 to 507 of the family's 1533-position model. The record is from RNAcentral.